RNAcentral lists this ribosomal RNA (301 nucleotides) under uncultured bacterium. RNAcentral describes it as "partial 16S ribosomal RNA". It matches the Rfam family "Bacterial small subunit ribosomal RNA", at positions 509 to 807 of the family's 1533-position model. The record is from RNAcentral.
CAGCCGCCGCGGUAAUACAGAGGGUGCGAGCGUUAAUCGGAUUUACUGGGCGUAAAGCGUGCGUAGGCGGCUUUUUAAGUCGGAUGUGAAAUCCCUGAGCUUAACUUAGGAAUUGCAUUCGAUACUGGGAAGCUAGAGUAUGGUAGAGGAUGGUAGAAUUCCAGGUGUAGCGGUGAAAUGCGUAGAGAUCUGGAGGAAUACCGAUGGCGAAGGCAGCCAUCUGGCCUAAUACUGACGCUGAGGUACGAAAGCAUGGGGAGCAAACAGGAUUAGAUACCCGGGUAGUCCCUGUCUCUUAUAC